GAUGAACGCUGGCGGCGUGCUUAACACAUGCAAGUCGAACGAAGCACCUGCAUGAUCCCUUCGGGGUNAAGUGCUUGUGACUGAGUGGCGGACGGGUGAGUAACGCGUGGGUAACCUGCCUUACACAGGGGGAUAACAGUUAGAAAUGACUGCUAAUACCGCAUAACCCGCUAGUACCGCAUGGUACAGACGGAAAAGAUUUAUCGGUGUAAGAUGGACCCGCGUCUGAUUAGCUAGUUGGUGGGGGUAAUGGCCCACCAAGGCGACGAUCAGUAGCCGGACUGAGAGGUUGAACGGCCACAUUGGGACUGAGAUACGGCCCAGACUCCUACGGGAGGCAGCAGUGGGGAAUAUUGGGCAAUGGGGGCAACCCUGACCCAGCAACGCCGCGUGAAGGAAGAAGGUCUUCGGAUUGUAAACCUUUGUGACAGGGGACGAACACAAUGACGGUACCCUGAGAGGAAGCCCCGGCUAACUACGUG
This 482-nucleotide ribosomal RNA is filed under the name uncultured bacterium. RNAcentral describes it as "bacterial SSU rRNA". It matches the Rfam family "Bacterial small subunit ribosomal RNA", at positions 28 to 507 of the family's 1533-position model. The record is from RNAcentral.